Molecule: ribosomal RNA, 89 nt
Filed under: Lactobacillus delbrueckii
Lineage: Bacteria; Bacillati; Bacillota; Bacilli; Lactobacillales; Lactobacillaceae
Also listed under: 2 other names
Source: RNAcentral
CUGUUCCCAUGCCGAACACAGUAGUUAAGCUUCUUAACGCCGAAAGUAGUUGGUGGGAAACUGCCUGCGAGGAUAGGAAGCUGCCGCGC